UCAAAUGGGAAAAGUAGUAAGGGUAAUUUCACAGUUCUAGGUGUUUUCACUAUUCAUUUGUUUAACUCUUUAAGUGUGUUUUUAAUUGUAAC
Long non-coding RNA from Etheostoma spectabile (orangethroat darter), 92 nucleotides. RefSeq lists it as uncharacterized. Lineage: Eukaryota; Metazoa; Chordata; Actinopteri; Perciformes; Percidae. The transcript has 3 exons. The record is from RefSeq and is a predicted model, not a curated record.